UACGUAGGGUGCGAGCGUUGUCCGGAAUUAUUGGGCGUUAAAGAGCUUGUAGGCGGUUUGUCGCGUCUGCUGUGAAAUCUCAAGCUCAACCUUGAGCUUGCAGUGGGUACGGGCAGACUAGAGGUGUGGUAGGGGAGACUGGAAUUCCUGGUGUAGCGGUGAAAUGCGCAGAUAUCAGGAGGAACACCGAUGGCGAAGGCAGGUCUCUGGGCCACUA
This 217-nucleotide ribosomal RNA is filed under the name uncultured bacterium. RNAcentral describes it as "partial 16S ribosomal RNA". It matches the Rfam family "Bacterial small subunit ribosomal RNA", at positions 524 to 739 of the family's 1533-position model. The record is from RNAcentral.